RNAcentral lists this transfer RNA (91 nucleotides) under Marinomonas gallaica. Its description in RNAcentral is "tRNA-Ser". It matches the Rfam family "tRNA". Rfam says of the family: Transfer RNA (tRNA) molecules are approximately 80 nucleotides in length. Their secondary structure includes four short double-helical elements and three loops (D, anti-codon, and T loops). Further hydrogen bonds mediate the characteristic L-shaped molecular structure. tRNAs have two regions of fundamental functional importance: the anti-codon, which is responsible for specific mRNA codon recognition, and the 3' end, to which the tRNAs corresponding amino acid is attached (by aminoacyl-tRNA synthetases). tRNAs cope with the degeneracy of the genetic code in two manners: having more than one tRNA (with a specific anti-codon) for a particular amino acid; and 'wobble' base-pairing, i.e. permitting non-standard base-pairing at the 3rd anti-codon position. Lineage: Bacteria; Pseudomonadati; Pseudomonadota; Gammaproteobacteria; Oceanospirillales; Oceanospirillaceae. The record is from RNAcentral.
GGAGGGGUGGCAGAGCGGUUGAAUGCACCGGUCUUGAAAACCGGCGAAGAUUAAUAGUCUUCCGAGAGUUCGAAUCUCUCCUCCUCCGCCA